RNAcentral lists this ribosomal RNA (496 nucleotides) under uncultured bacterium. RNAcentral's name for it is "partial 16S ribosomal RNA". It matches the Rfam family "Bacterial small subunit ribosomal RNA", at positions 28 to 523 of the family's 1533-position model. The record is from RNAcentral.
GAUGAACGCUAGCGGCAGGCCUAAUACAUGCAAGUCGGGGGGUAGAAGAGGCUUGCUUCUUCGAGACCGGCGCACGGGUGCGUAACGCGUAUGCAACCUACCUUCAUCUGGGGGAUAGCCCGGAGAAAUCCGGAUUAAUACCGCAUAAAAUCACAGGAUGGCAUUAUCCAAUGAUCAAACAUUUAUGGGAUGGAGAUGGGCAUGCGUGUCAUUAGCUAGUUGGCGGGGUAACGGCCCACCAAGGCGACGAUGACUAGGGGAUCUGAGAGGAUGGCCCCCCACACUGGUACUGAGACACGGACCAGACUCCUACGGGAGGCAGCAGUAAGGAAUAUUGGUCAAUGGAGGCAACUCUGAACCAGCCAUGCCGCGUGCAGGAAGACUGCCCUAUGGGUUGUAAACUGCUUUUAUUCGGGAAUAAACCUUAUUACGUGUAAUAAGCUGAAUGUACCGAAGGGAUAAGGAUCGGCUAACUCCGUGCCAGCAGCCGCCGUAA